RNAcentral lists this ribosomal RNA (253 nucleotides) under uncultured bacterium. Its description in RNAcentral is "partial 16S ribosomal RNA". It matches the Rfam family "Bacterial small subunit ribosomal RNA", at positions 524 to 776 of the family's 1533-position model. The record is from RNAcentral.
UACAGAGGGUGCGAGCGUUAAUCGGAAUUACUGGGCGUAAAGCGCACGUAGGUGGCGACGUAAGUCGGGUGUGAAAGCCCCGGGCUCAACCUGGGAAUUGCAUUCGAGACUGCAUUGCUGGAGUAUGGAAGAGGAGGGCGGAAUUCCAGGUGUAGCGGUGAAAUGCGUAGAUAUCGGGAGGAACAUCAGUGGCGAAGGCGGCCCCCUGGUCCAGUACUGACACUCAAGUGCGAAAGCGUGGGGAGCAAACAGG